Molecule: ribosomal RNA, 468 nt
Filed under: uncultured bacterium
Lineage: Bacteria
Description: bacterial SSU rRNA
Rfam family: Bacterial small subunit ribosomal RNA
Source: RNAcentral
AUGCCUAACACAUGCAAGUCGAGCGGUAGAGAGGUGCUUGCAUCUCUUGAGAGCGGCGGACGGGUGAGUAAUGCCUAGGAAUCUGCCUAGUGGUGGGGGAUAACGUUCGGAAACGGACGCUAAUACCGCAUACGUCCUACGGGAGAAAGCGGGGGAUCUUCGGACCUCGCGCUAUUAGAUGAGCCUAGGUCGGAUUAGCUAGUUGGUGAGGUAAUGGCUCACCAAGGCGACGAUCCGUAACUGGUCUGAGAGGAUGAUCAGUCACACUGGAACUGAGACACGGUCCAGACUCCUACGGGAGGCAGCAGUGGGGAAUAUUGGACAAUGGGCGAAAGCCUGAUCCAGCCAUGCCGCGUGUGUGAAGAAGGUCUUCGGAUUGUAAAGCACUUUAAGUUGGGAGGAAGGGUAGUAACCUAAUACGUUGCUACUUUGACGUUACCGACAGAAUAAGCACCGGCUAACUUCGUG